RNAcentral lists this long non-coding RNA (362 nucleotides) under Setaria viridis. RNAcentral describes it as "long non-coding RNA (SVIR_LNC002124)". Lineage: Eukaryota; Viridiplantae; Streptophyta; Magnoliopsida; Poales; Poaceae. The record is from RNAcentral.
UUGCAUUAGGUUUCACAUAUUAUUAAAUCUAGUUUAGAAAUGGUAAAUAAUUUAACACUGUAUAAAAUUAUAGUCUAGCAAACAUGAUUAGUUAUAGAGAUUAGACUUAAGAAACGAACAACCAAGUAACGAGGAAAAAAAUAUUUUUGCACCUAUGGGCAGUAGCCCUAGCCCAUUAUUGUUGAUGGGCCAUAACAAUUGGGCCAAAUAAACUUUGUGUCUCUGAGACGCCAAUCCUAUCUAGCUUCCGAAAUUUUUUUUCUAACGAAACUUGCAUUAUUUAAGAUUCGUGCGUGUGUCCUUGUCCAUUCAUUGGAUGUGCUCUCAUCUUUCUCAAUCCUAGCCUCCAUUCUUUCUCCACC